GAAGGUUUGGAUCCAAGUCUGGCAUCUCUUUGACCGCCUCAGGACUCACACUGUAGAUGGAUGCCCCGGCCUCAUUGGUUAUGCUGUUUAAAGGAUUUAGGAAAAAAAAUACCAAAUGAGAGGAGAGACGGGAGAACUUCCUCGGGGCUAAGUGACACAAUAACAGGGUCAAUGACGCUUCGCUCAUGUCCGAGAGUCCAGCCCUGUCCAGCAUUCACACACACAACCUGUACCAGAGGCUUAGAUUGUGCCACAACAACCUUGCCCACCCUUCCAGUCCAUUGUGCUGACAGCUGACAUAUCGCCAUGACGACGCUGCUAACGAGCAUUGGCACAUGACCUUCAAGGAGGUCAAAAGGAUGCUGGUCAUUAACAUGACACGUCUUGCUUCACGUUUAUACUGCAUAAAUAAACAAGUCACAAGCAAGAAAGGAAAACUUUUUAAUAUUUAUUUCAUUUUUUUUCCCAUUGCUUUGGAAUCCAAUUUCAGGUGUUGGUACUAAUAAAUACACUGUUUGACAAAGGCAGUGUUGGAUGAUAAAAAUGAAAACAAAAGCUAGAAGAAUAAAUGACGAAAAAAAACACAUACUAGUGAAUGGUUGAAGAAAAAAUGAAGGCUAUCCAACGAGCCCCAUCACCUCUGUAUUAAUUAAUUAAUGUAUUAAUUAAUGCUGCUGCCGGGGCAUCUCAGUAACAGCAGUGUCAUAGAUACAGCUCUGAGCCCUCUCUGCCACAGCGUCCAUGACUGUCGCCAUGGCGAGGGCAUCACCCUGGCAGACAGCAGAAGGUCAACAGUGGUUGGAUGGCCGAUGUGUGGACAGACACAAAGUCACAGUCUGCCUCCUGGUGCAAAGCGAUGACUUCUGGCCAUUUAGGGUUAUCAUUUAUUCGCGCUUAUGCUUGCUCUCUUAAUUGCACGAACACACACAAACACAUGUCUGCCCUCAGCGCCGUUCCUUCCUAGGGCAAAGUCACAAAAGGGUUGCCCUUUCUCCUUCCCCUUGCUGGGUGAAUUUGAGACACACCCUUGAGCUUGAUACUCAAACACAGACACAUAAUGACUGCCCCAUUUUGCCGCCCCUAAAGAAAGGCAAUAGUGAAGGAGAUGGAUACACAUUUUGAUAUCUCUUUAAAGCCUUUGGGCGCAAUCGGCAUGGGUGUAAAUUCAAAACACCUUCAACGAAUCAGAAAUAGGCCGAUUAUAUCACUAAUGAACCCAAAAACAUAGAAGAACGUUAUAUUUCUUCUUUCAAGUCAUAGCCAUUAGUCUUAACACAGACCACAUAGUUAAUAUUAACUGGGUUUUGUGAGUAUAACCAUGCAACUAUUUAAAAGUUGAAGCGCGGUCACAUGGUUGUGGACACACCUACGAACACACAUUUCACCCAACAGCGCAGACCACCUGGGGAGUCAACCCUCUCGCUUCAGCAUACGUCACACCCCAACCCACUGUGGGCCCCACACUCCUACCUGUAUCCUCUGCUCUGCAUUUAGGAAACAGUCGGAGAGAAAGCGCCGCACUUUUCUACAGACAGCCUCCACUGUGGUGCAAUUGCUUUUCCAGUUUAUUUUUUUUAUAGUUAUUUUGCGAAAAACUGCAGAAACGUAUAUAAUUCCUAAUUAUUCAGGUCUUCUGCAGAUACAAAACCAUAUAGAGGAAGUGGACUAGUUAAAGCGAAAUAUUAACAAUAUUGUCCGAGCACAUUUCUGCAUAAAACAUGGUGACAAACUUUGCACAAAGCCCUGUUGAAAUAGUUUGACCUGGACCUGAUGUCAAGUUCGGCAGGUGGAUGCCUCUCUGCAAACAGAAUGAUGACAGAAUUUUUCUGUCUCCCAAACAUCUACAUCAAUGAGAACUGAUUUCAGCACUUCGGAUGAAGUAUGUGGGAGCCUUUUGACCCCUAUGAACAGUUCAGAGCAUUCCUCAUAUUAUAUAUUCCCUAUGUCAUUCAGAUUCAAUUGGGGAACUAAAGUAAGGGAAUAACAUAACUAUGAAAGGUUUUCUUUGCAUAACAAUAGAGGGCUUCAACUGUUAACCUCUAGAAACACAAUCAUGCAACUUAUAGAUGAAUUUCUGGUCCAACACGGCCCUAUAGUAGGUCCUUGUUGAAUUUGAUGAUAUGCAGAAAAGGGGAUUCAGGUAUAUCAUUGCUCUUGAGGUCUGAAGUUGGUUUAAAAGCCCUGAUUUAGACGUACCAGGGUAGAAAGAACUGAAUGAGAAGAUGGAAAUAUUUUUGCCAAAGCAUUUCUUUGCUGCCAUUGGCAAGUUGCCUGUUUUUCUUUGACCAUUCAUUCAGAAGACUUUACUUCCUGGUUGGAGGUAUGCUGGUGGUGCCUAGAGUUCCUACAAGUAGAAUGAGAAGCAGAGCUUUUUGUUGUCAGCUACUCUUGACUCUGAGCCAGUCACCCCCAUAGUCUAUCCGUCUUCUAAUGUCUACCUCUAACAGAAGGUAGACAUAAUGCACCUUGUCGUCACAAAACUCAAAUCCAUCCGUUAGACUCCAACUACGUGAAUGCAGCUCUAGUGUAAAGUGUUUUGAUUUUUCAGAAUGACUAGGAAAGGGAUAAAUAAAAAAAAGUCAAUUUACCCUGUAGUCAUAAAGGCAUGGAUGUGGUCAACAACAAGAGUUGGCCGGUCUGCGGGGUUUAAAGGGUGACCAACUGGUUCCCCACACCCUGACGCCACAACCCAGAUUUUGAAACACUGAUCCCCCUGAAUCCAUGAUUUCAUGUUGUUUACACCACAUUCUGACUUUACUAUCUACAUGUCACAACGGAAAUGAAGUGCAGCAGCACAUUUGCUUCAAGAUUUGACAUUUGUACUUAGCAUUCUGUACGCCUUGGUGAUAAUGAGUGGUUAUUAGAGCUUUAGUUACCUUUUAAUUAUCUCAGAGUACUCUGUCUGUCCUCCUCUUCUGACGUCAUUGAGGCAUUUUUGUCCUAACAACUGCCGCUCACUGGAUAUUUUCCUCUUUUUUCCAACCAUUGUCUGUAAAUCGGGGAGUUGUGCAAACAAAUACCUACAAAAAACUCAAUCCAGCUACUUUGACUUCACUAAAAUCCGUUUUUUUUCCUUCAUUUGAGUCUUUGUUUAAACUUCAGUAAGUCAGCCUCUGUCAUCUAGAGCCUUGAACAUACUUGACUGCUGCCAUGUGAUUAGCUCCCUUGCUAUGUGUGUAAACAAGCAACUGAGACAAAUUUUUAAUUUGAAUUGUAAAGAAGGGUUUCAAAUAAGGUCUACCGCUUUUGCAAAAACCUGAAAGAACAUUCCCAUGGAAGGUAAAAUAUCAU
Xiphophorus couchianus (Monterrey platyfish) is the source of this 3291-nucleotide long non-coding RNA. RefSeq lists it as uncharacterized. The transcript has 3 exons. NCBI's taxonomy places the organism in Eukaryota, Metazoa, Chordata, Actinopteri, Cyprinodontiformes, Poeciliidae. The record is from RefSeq and is a predicted model, not a curated record.